GAUGAACGCUAGCUACAGGCUUAACACAUGCAAGUCGAGGGGAAACGACAUCGAAAGCUUGCUUUUGAUGGGCGUCGACCGGCGCACGGGUGAGUAACGCGUAUCCAACCUGCCCACCACUUGGGGAUAACCUUGCGAAAGUAAGACUAAUACCCAAUGACGUCUCUAGCAGACAUCUGAACGAGAUUACAGAUUUAUCGGUGAUGGUGGGGGAUGGGUCUGAUUAGCUUGUUGGCGGGGUAACGGCCAACCAAGGCGACGAUCAGUAGGGGUUCUGAGAGGAAGGUCCCCCACAUUGGAACUGAGACACGGUCCAAACUCCUACGGGAGGCAGCAGUGAGGAAUAUUGGUCAAUGGGCGAGAGCCUGAACCAGCCAAGUAGCGUGCAGGAUGACGGCCCUAUGGGUUGUAAACUGCUUUUAUAAGGGAAUAAAGUGAGUAUCGUGAGACUUUUUGCAUGUACCUUAUGAAUAAGGACCGGCUAAUUCCGUGCCAGCCGCCGCAGUAA
RNAcentral lists this ribosomal RNA (508 nucleotides) under uncultured bacterium. RNAcentral describes it as "partial 16S ribosomal RNA". It matches the Rfam family "Bacterial small subunit ribosomal RNA", at positions 28 to 523 of the family's 1533-position model. The record is from RNAcentral.